RNAcentral lists this ribosomal RNA (253 nucleotides) under uncultured bacterium. RNAcentral's name for it is "partial 16S ribosomal RNA". It matches the Rfam family "Bacterial small subunit ribosomal RNA", at positions 524 to 776 of the family's 1533-position model. The record is from RNAcentral.
UACGGGGGGGGCAAGCGUUGUUCGGAAUUACUGGGCGUAAAGGGCUCGUAGGCGGCUAACUAAGUCAUACGUGAAAUCCCUCGGCUUAACCGGGGAACUGCGUCUGAUACUGGAUGGCUUGAGAUUGGGAGAGGGAUGCGGAAUUCCAGGUGUAGCGGUGAAAUGCGUAGAUAUCUGGAGGAACACCGGUGGCGAAGGCGGGUCUCUGGGCCGAUACUGACGCUGAGGAGCGAAAGCGUGGGGAGCGAACAGG